UAUGCUGCUCGGCCUUUUGGCUAAGAUCAAGUGUAGUAUCUGUUCUUAUCAGCUUAAUAUCUGAUACGCCCCCUAUCUGGGGUCCAUAUAUUAAAUGGAUUUUUAGAACAGGGAGAUGGAAGAAGAGCUUGCUCUGUCCACUCCACGCAUUAACCUGGUAUAGCAGUACCUCCAGGACCGGUGCACCAAAA
Molecule: small nuclear RNA, 191 nt
Filed under: Leptobrachium leishanense (Leishan spiny toad)
Lineage: Eukaryota; Metazoa; Chordata; Amphibia; Anura; Megophryidae
Description: U2 spliceosomal RNA (ENSLLEG00000004252.1)
Rfam family: U2 spliceosomal RNA
About the family: U2 is a small nuclear RNA (snRNA) component of the spliceosome (involved in pre-mRNA splicing). Complementary binding between U2 snRNA (in an area lying towards the 5' end but 3' to hairpin I) and the branchpoint sequence (BPS) of the intron results the bulging out of an unpaired adenosine, on the BPS, which initiates a nucleophilic attack at the intronic 5' splice site, thus starting the first of two transesterification reactions that mediate splicing.
Source: Rfam by way of RNAcentral